UUAACCCCUGAGCCACAUCCAGCUGAUUUGUGUAUUUUAUUUAGAGACCGGGUCUCACUGAGUUGCUUAGAGCCUUUGAACUCGACAUCCUUCUGCCUCAGCCUCCUGAGCGGCUGGGAUCAGGGGUGUGCCACCGUGCCCCACUUGUUUUAAGGCUUUUUAACUAGGUUGUUUGAAAAUAUUUAUACAUUGAUUAUUGGUUAGAUUAUUAGACCUGGGUCUGCUAUCACCUAACUUAACAUGGAUCGAAGGUCAUUAUGGUCACAAACUCCAAUUUUAUAUCGGUCCACUAUCUGCAAGGUCGAUUUAUUGGUCAAGAGGAGGGAUCUCAAUGCACAAAACAAGUGAUUCAGCACAACUCAUUUUCCCUGACUAUAACAACUAUAGUCACCAGCAAUGUCACCUUGGGCACUUACAUUACUGAACAGGGAUUUUUACAUAGUCUUCAAUUUGAGAACUAGCACCAACAUUUUCUUUAGUGAACCUUUCUUUGGUCUCAUUCUAGUUCUGUUUCAAACUGAAAUGAAUUUUGAGUAAGUAUGAAUUGAAAAUUGUAGGGAGGGUGGGAUUCUUUUUGGCUUUGGCACCUGGGUACUAAGGGGCUAUAGGAACAAGCUUUCAUUCAUCAACGGAACACAUUAGGUUUCUGUUUUACAGUUCAGGGUGGGCCAGAGGCACCAUGGUAGGUCUGUGAUGGAUGAAUUAACAUCUUGUUAGAAAGGUGUUGAGCCCCUCCUAAGUCACCUUGAAUGCCCUGUUUUUGCAGCAGAAAUGACCCAUAUUUUAAAAGUACAAGUAUAAUAUACAUUAAGAAAAAUAUAUAAAUCUUAAAUGUGCUGCUCAGUGAAUUUUC
This 853-nucleotide long non-coding RNA is filed under the name Marmota monax (woodchuck). Lineage: Eukaryota; Metazoa; Chordata; Mammalia; Rodentia; Sciuridae. The record is from RNAcentral.